CAAUAGCGUAUAUUUAAGUUGUUGCAGUUAAAAAGCUCGUAGUUGGAUUUCGGAUGGGAUCUGCCGGUCCGCCUUUGAGGUGUGUACUGGUAGGUCCUAUCUUGUUGUCGGGGACUAGCUCCUGGGCUUCACUGUCCGGGACUAGGAGCUGACGAGGUUACUUUGAGUAAAUUAGAGUGUUCAAAGCAAGCCUACGCUCUGAAUACAUUAGCAUGGAAUAACACGAUAGGACUCUGGCUUAUCUUGUUGGUCUGUGAGACCAGAGUAAUGAUUAAGAGGGACAGUCGGGGGCAUUCGUAUUUCAUUGUCAGAGGUGAAAUUCUUGGAUUUAUGAAAGACGAACUUCUGCGAAAGCAUUUGUCAAGGAUGUUUUCAUUAA
RNAcentral lists this ribosomal RNA (379 nucleotides) under uncultured eukaryote. Its description in RNAcentral is "partial 18S ribosomal RNA". It matches the Rfam family "Eukaryotic small subunit ribosomal RNA", at positions 592 to 976 of the family's 1831-position model. The record is from RNAcentral.